This 2379-nucleotide small RNA is filed under the name Pongo abelii (Sumatran orangutan). RNAcentral describes it as "pseudogene". The record is from RNAcentral. Lineage: Eukaryota; Metazoa; Chordata; Mammalia; Primates; Hominidae.
UUUGUCUCACACAAGUGCAUCCCUGUCCAUUUCUAAGUGCGCCCUUGUCCUUUGGGGAGUGUGGCCCGUGAAACACAGUGCAUGCCUGCAGUUAUAUGUGUGUUUGAAAACAUAAGAUCCUGCACAGGGAAGUGGUUGAGUGUGUGUGCAUAUGCGUGGGUGUGUCGCUGCCUUGUGGGCAAGCGUGUUCACCUGUGAUGGGUCUUCCUGAGUACAUGCAGACAUGGGUGCAAACAUGCACCUCUGUAGAAGUGUUCACAUGCGAUGAAGUCCAUCCACAUGUUUGCAGGGGUUUGGGUGUGUCAUCCCCCAGCUAGAAGCUUGCGUUUGUGCGAUGGGACAUGCGUCAGUCCUGCACAUAUAGCCUUGGGACUCAUUACACCAGCCAGCCUCCUCUCCCCACUUCCCCAGAAGGGGAUGCCUUGCCAUGCCCUGGGGGAGGAGACGGUGGAGUCCAGAGGUUGACCUGGAAGACUGAGAUUCUUCCCAGGCACAGGCACACAGAUGGGCUCAGCCACAGUGCUCCUGGCAGGUUUACAGCCGGAAAACAACACAAAAAAUUUUUAUCUUGUGUCGAAAAUAACCACUACCCUGACCGUGACCCCAGGGCUUCCUCUGAGUAAGGAGAGACCUCCUAGACUCCUUAGCAUCCAGAGUCCCUUGCUUCCCCAGAGGGCAGCCCAAAAGCACAGAGCCCCAAGGCCCAGCUCCUGCCCCUAAGGCUCUCCUGCCCAUCUCCUCUCUCCCCACCCCCACUCGGUUCCCACGCAUUCUUCAGCCAUGACAUCCUCACUCCAGGAGCUCAGCAGCCAGGGCCAUGCCCUGCCCUGCCUUGCAUUUGCUCUGCCCUGGUUCCACACUGGCCCUGGACCCGCAGGCCAGCACAGUUCUGUGGCCUCUGCACCGGGGUUUCACUCAAGGAGGGGUGGGGGCAGAGAGUGUGGGUGAGCCAGCGUUCCCUGAGGAGGUCUAGUGCUGACUUUGAGCUUACGGGUUGUGUUGGGAUAAUAUUAAAGUGGCUGGUGGGUGCUUACCAUGUUGCAUGCUCUGUGCUAGGGGGUUCAUGUAUACGUCUUAUUUCAUGCAGUAAUCCUAGGAGACAGAUUCUGUUAUGUAGGAGAACACUGAGGCUUAGAAGAGUUUACAUGACUUGUCAGCUAAUAGUAGCCAACCUGGAUUCCAAGACAGGUCUGUCUGACUCCAAAGACCUUGCCCUUUGCUCUAUGUCCAAAGAUGAGUCUAAAUGUCCAGCCACACCUGUAUGCGGUGAUGCCUGUGGGUUUGGGUGUGGGAGCCUGCAGGUACAAUGUCUGUGAAAGGUAUAAUACAUGUGUCCGGGCACGGUAGCUCAUGCCUGUAAUCCCAGCACUUUGGGAGGCCAAAGCAGGAGGAUCACCUGUGGUCAGGGGUUCAAGACCAGCCUGACCAACAAGAUGAAACCCCGUCUCUACUAAAAAAAAAUACAAAAAUUAGCUGGGCGAGGCUGAGACAGGAGAAUUGCUUGAACCCGGGAGGCAGAGGCUGCAGUGAGCUGAGAUUGCACCACUGCACUCCGGCCUGGGUGACAGAGUGAGAAUCCAUCUCAAAAAAAAAAAAAAGAGAGAGAGAAAAAAAAGAAAGGUAUAACACAAGCCUAAGUAUGGAGGCAUUCGUGUGGCAGAUGCACAUCUGUGUGAACUUUGGUGAGUAUGAACCCGCUGCUUCUUCCUUGGAGUGUACCUCCCAUCCCAUGUCCUUGUUAAGGCCACUCUUGCAUGUCACCUGGGAAGCAUCUUCUGUUGCCGUCCCAUCAGUUGCUGAGCCAAGGCCACCUGCCGAGGAUGGCGAUUUAAGUAAGAGUAGCUUUCUCAUGGGUUGGAAGAGAUUUGGGGCCACUUACUGGCUGGUGACCUUGAGUGAGUUAUCACCCUUCAUAGGCUCAAGUGUUCUGAUGUCUAAAGUCAGGGAGGUGGGCUGGAACCUAGCCACUGAGGUUAUCUCUCUCUGAGAGUUUCUAAUGCUCUGCAAGAGCAUGGUGUGGAGUGUGGCUUACUGGGCAUGUUGUGGGCAGGCCAGGAUUAAAUCAAUUAAUGGGAAAGCACUUUGCCAAUUGGAAAGCACCACAAAAAUUUCAACAUUUACAUAAGGUGUCAUUAUCACGACUAUUAUUGGCUUAAUGAGUCCAGAGCUUGCAGCUGGUUUGUGUAUGUUGGAGCUUGUGCAUGUGUGUUUUUUAAAAACCGUCUGUGACUGUGUGUGUAUUUUGUUGUGGAUGUGUCCGUCUGAGUAUCUAUUUUUGUGUAUAUGUAUUUACAGUAGGGGUUCUAGAGUGUGCAGUGGUCGCUGCACUGGGAACGGGGAGGCCUGAGUUAUAUGUCCAGUUUUCCAGUGACUAGCAGU